This 2156-nucleotide long non-coding RNA is filed under the name Nicotiana tabacum (common tobacco). Its description in RNAcentral is "long non-coding RNA (NTAB_LNC007057)". Lineage: Eukaryota; Viridiplantae; Streptophyta; Magnoliopsida; Solanales; Solanaceae. The record is from RNAcentral.
UGGAAAACUAUUAAUAGUUUACAAAUUACAGUUUAUAAUCAAAAGCAAAUAAUUCUAGCCGAAUAUAAAUUCCAUCGUCCAUAUUCUUAAUUUGAAUUACAAAGGUAGAUUAUACACCUGCCUAUCAUUUGACUAUUAAACAUGCAAAUACAAAUUAAAUACUUGACUACUUGAGUAUUUCUUUUCACUACAACAGCCGCAUCACAAUGAUUCGAAAGUGUACCUGAUAGUAGAAACAGAAGAAGAAGGUGAAGAUCAGUAGACCAGUAGCUAACAACAGCGACAAUCAGCACCAAGCAGUACAACAACAACCAGUAAACCCAGCUCAAACGAAACUGAAAACCCAACAGUACCAAAAUGAAACACAGACAGAUGCAAGGAAACAAUAGUUUCUGAUUUUCAAAUACUUAAGAAAAGCAGCCUGACAACUCUUAGUGCAAAAGUUCAAACUCAACACUAACUCUUAAUGUAAAAGUUCUGAUUUUUUUUUGAAUUUGUUUCCUCUCCUUUUCCAGUAUUUUUCCCCCUUCUCUUUCAGUCUCCCUCCCUCUUUAUACAAUUUGCCCGACCCUUCUUCUUUUCAAAAACCAGAAUUUCCCACUAAAAAUCUGCUCUUUUUACUUUAAAUCCCAUUAAGGAAACCUUUUCCCUAAUUUUCAGCCCCCACUCCUUUUGUUCCCCAUUAUCACAUUAAAUUAAAGACAUUAACACUCCACUAAUAACACACUAAUACUAACAUAUUAUUCCUAUUGUUUCAUUCCCAAAUUGCCCCUGAAAACCACUGUGAUUUACUGUCCUAGCCCAAUACAACUACUGUAUCAAAAUCUGUUUAACUAGUCAAUUAACCAAAACUGACUUGAUUAACAGCUAAAACCAAUUCAGCCAGCAUUUUACGGCAGAAACUACAUCAAAUACGAAGGUUCCAGUGAUUCAGAAUAAUGCUCAUACUCAAAACAGCAUCUGAACUAACCGGAUGACUAAUAAUUUGAAAAUUAUAAACAACAGAAUGUCAAUUGAUUCAAACUAUACGAAUGACCUACUCAAUGAAACUUAAUUGAACGAUUACGUAUUACAACUGACAUUGAUCAAAUCAGCAAACAAAGAAAGAGACAAUUCGGGUAAUUUCAGUGUUAUUGACAGAAUUAAAAUGGAAACUAACUAAUCGACGCAACUUAUUAAUCGAUCACACACAUAAUAAUUACAGUAAUCAUAAACAAAUGACAAAUUUGGACCAAAUAAAAGGUCUAUUGAGAUGAGCAGAAUUAAUUGAUAAAAAUGGAAAAUUAAUAAAACUAAACUAAACAGAUACAUAGAUAGAAAAACAUGAAUACAAAAAUGAAUAAAAUACCUCAGAAACUCAGAAAUAUACGGACCCAGGCUCGAACUUGAAUUUGGACAUUUUUGAGGUCGAACAAACUUUAAUCGAAGUAUUAUCAACUGAGAAUACCUCGAUUAAGGUCUAUUAGACCCCAAAUCUUCAUUUAAUUGGACUGAUUCCAUGAUUUAGAUUUUUAGGGUUCUUGAGGGUCUGAUUUGGGGUUCGAACACUUUCGGCUUGAUUCGAACCAAACCUUCGUUGGUGUAGGCCUAAGGGGGGGGGGGGGGGAGGGGGGUUUGGGGGGUGGGGUAAGGAUUUGGGGCUUAUAUAGUGAGGGGUUGUUUUGAUCUUAACCGUUAAAUCUAUUACGAUCAAUGGUCAGGAUGAAAGGGGUUAAACUUAUACGGUGUCGUUUGGUUUAAACAGGGGUAUGGGUUGGCCCGGGGAGGGCAAAUUGGAUCGGGUUAUGGGGAGGCCUUGAAGCCAUUGGAUCAACAACGAUGAAUGGUCCUGAUCAAAUACAGCCAUACGACGUCGUUUGGUUUAACAAGAGAAUUGAACUGGAUCGUUAGAUCAUCUUGAUCGACGGUCCAGAUGGAAAGUUCCAAUACGACAUCGUUUAGGAUUGGCUGCAGGUGGACUGGAUUUGGCUGGGUAUAGAGAAAGUUUUGGGCCUCAUUUUUGGUUUAAAGUUUUUUGGCCCAGAUCUGAUUGGCCCUAUGUUUUUAAUUCUUUUCAUUUUCUUCUUUUAAUUAACACUUUAACAAAAAUUCUAAAAAUAAAAUAAUAAAUGUAAAACCAAAAUCAAACUACAAAAUAUUAACUCUUAUCAACAAUU